This 211-nucleotide long non-coding RNA is filed under the name Gallus gallus (chicken). The record is from RNAcentral. Lineage: Eukaryota; Metazoa; Chordata; Aves; Galliformes; Phasianidae.
GUCUGUUUCAUAUUGGCUCAUGUUUUCAGGCUGAUGCAAGCCAUUCCUUCCAUACCCAGGUAGAGAAGUAGAUUUAGAAUACGGAAAUCGGGAGUACAUGGCAGUGGUGCCCUCCUGUGCUCUCUGGAAGUUUUCUCUGUCAGUUCCAGGAGUAAGAGACAGGGAUCGGGUAUCUGAAUCUGGGGAAUUAGUUCUGGUGUCCAUAUCCCCU